This 72-nucleotide transfer RNA is filed under the name Dimargaris cristalligena. It matches the Rfam family "tRNA". Rfam says of the family: Transfer RNA (tRNA) molecules are approximately 80 nucleotides in length. Their secondary structure includes four short double-helical elements and three loops (D, anti-codon, and T loops). Lineage: Eukaryota; Fungi; Kickxellomycota; Dimargaritomycetes; Dimargaritales; Dimargaritaceae. The record is from Rfam by way of RNAcentral.
GGCUCGGUGGUUUAGUGGUAUAAUACUCCCUUAGGGUGGGAGUGGUCCCGGGUUCGAUUCCCGGCCGAGCCC